CGAAAGAAAGAUUAAUACCCGAUGGUCUCGGUUUAAGGCAUCUUAGACUGAGUAAAGAUUUAUCGGCGAUGGAUGAGGAUGCGUCUGAUUAGGGUAGAUGGCGGGGUAACGGCCCACAUGCCUACGAUCAGUAGGGGUUCUGAGAGGAAGGUCCCCCACAUUGGAACUGAGACACGGUCCAAACUCCUACGGGAGGCAGCAGUGAGGAAUAUUGGUCAAUGGACGAGAGUCUGAACCAGCCAAGUAGCGUGAAGGAUGACUGCCCUAUGGGUUGUAAACUUCUUUUGUUUGGGAAUAAAGUGAGGGACGUGUCCCUUUUUGUAUGUACCAUUCGAAUAAGCAUCGGCUAAUUCCGUG
Molecule: ribosomal RNA, 357 nt
Filed under: uncultured bacterium
Lineage: Bacteria
Description: bacterial SSU rRNA
Rfam family: Bacterial small subunit ribosomal RNA
Source: RNAcentral